GUAACGGCCUACCAAAGCGACGAUCCAUAGCCGGCCUGAGAGGGUGAACGGCCACAUUGGGACUGAGACACGGCCCAGACUCCUACGGGAGGCAGCAGUGGGGAAUAUUGCACAAUGGGGGAAACCCUGAUGCAGCGACGCCGCGUGAGCGAAGAAGUAUUUCGGUAUGUAAAGCUCUAUCAGCAGGGAAGAAAUUGACGGUACCUGACUAAGAAGCACCGGCUAAAUAC
Molecule: ribosomal RNA, 230 nt
Filed under: uncultured bacterium
Lineage: Bacteria
Description: partial 16S ribosomal RNA
Rfam family: Bacterial small subunit ribosomal RNA
Source: RNAcentral